UACGUAGGGUGCGAGCGUUGUCCGGAAUUAUUGGGCGUAAAGAGCUUGUAGGUGGCUCGUUGCGUCGGGAGUGAAAACCUGCGGCUUAACCGCAGGCCUGCUUCCGAUACGGGCGAGCUAGAGUUCGGCAGGGGAGACUGGAAUUCCUGGUGUAGCGGUGGAAUGCGCAGAUAUCAGGAGGAACACCGGUGGCGAAGGCGGGUCUCUGGGCCGAUACUGACAUUGAGGCGCGAAAGCGUGGGGAGCAAACAGG
This 253-nucleotide ribosomal RNA is filed under the name uncultured bacterium. RNAcentral describes it as "partial 16S ribosomal RNA". It matches the Rfam family "Bacterial small subunit ribosomal RNA", at positions 524 to 776 of the family's 1533-position model. The record is from RNAcentral.